RNAcentral lists this ribosomal RNA (361 nucleotides) under uncultured bacterium. RNAcentral's name for it is "bacterial SSU rRNA". It matches the Rfam family "Bacterial small subunit ribosomal RNA", at positions 438 to 793 of the family's 1533-position model. The record is from RNAcentral.
AGCAGUGAGGAAGUGGAUAUGUUAAUAGCAUAUUCAUUUGACGUUAGCUGCAGAAGAAGCACCGGCUAACUCCGUGCCAGCAGCCGCGGUAAUACGGAGGGUGCGAGCGUUAAUCGGAAUUACUGGGCGUAAAGCGCAUGCAGGUGGUUUGUUAAGUCAGAUGUGAAAGCCCGGGGCUCAACCUCGGAAUUGCAUUUGAAACUGGCAAACUAGAGUACUGUAGAGGGGGUAGAAUUUCAGGUGUAGCGGUGAAAUGCGUAGAGAUCUGAAGGAAUACCGGUGGCGAAGGCGGCCCCCUGGACAGAUACUGACACUCAGAUGCGAAAGCGUGGGGAGCAAACAGGAUUAGAUAACCUGGUAG